This 437-nucleotide ribosomal RNA is filed under the name uncultured bacterium. RNAcentral describes it as "partial 16S ribosomal RNA". It matches the Rfam family "Bacterial small subunit ribosomal RNA", at positions 29 to 507 of the family's 1533-position model. The record is from RNAcentral.
AGCGAACGCUGGCGGCAGGCUUAACACAUGCAAGUCGAGCGGGCAUCCUUGUGGUGUCAGCGGCAGACGGGUGAGUAACGCGUGGGAACGUGCCCUUCGGUUCGGAAUAACUCAGGGAAACUUGAGCUAAUACCGGAUACGUGCGAGAGCAGAAAGGUUUAUCUGCCGAAGGAUCGGCCCGCGUCUGAUUAGCUAGUUGGUGAGGUUAUGGCUCACCAAGGCGACGAUCAGUAGCUGGUCUGAGAGGAUGAUCAGCCACACUGGGACUGAGACACGGCCCAGACUCCUACGGGAGGCAGCAGUGGGGAAUAUUGGACAAUGGGGGCAACCCUGAUCCAGCCAUGCCGCGUGAGAGAUGACGGCCUUAGGGUUGUAAAGCUCUUUUCUCCGGGACGAUAAUGACGGUACCGGAGGAAUAAGCCCCGGCUAACUUCGUG